GCCAGCAGCCAUAUCACCCUGCAGCUCUCAACUGGCUACCUACUGAAGCUAAGCAGGGUCAAGCCUGGUCAGUACCUGGGUGGGAGACCUCCUGGGAAGCUAUGGUUGCUGCUGAAA
Lepisosteus oculatus (spotted gar) is the source of this 117-nucleotide ribosomal RNA. NCBI's taxonomy places the organism in Eukaryota, Metazoa, Chordata, Actinopteri, Semionotiformes, Lepisosteidae. The record is from Ensembl.